GACGCCCCAGCCGCCGAAGCAGGGGUGAUCAUGUGACUCGCGGGGGCGGGGCUGCGCCGGCCGCUUCCCAGCCCGGCUGAAAGGGCUCGCGUAGCCGGCCCUGUCGGCCCUUACAGCGGUCAGUGGGCGGCCUGGCCCCAGCUCCCCUCCCGAGCCGCGCAAAGGGAGCUGCUCCUGGCUCUCGUCCGCCCCCCAGGUUUGCUUUCCUUCCCUUCCCGAAGGUGGGCCCCGAGGUCCUCCGCCGCGGAGGCUGCGGCCGCCGGGAAGCCCAGAGCCGAGUGUCCGGAGACUAACCGGAAGUGCGGUCCCAGGCGGAGGGGCGGUGCCGGCGGCUGCCGGGGAGAGGGCAGAAUUGCGUGCUGUGAAUACUUAUGGACCAGAGACCUUUUGAAGCCAGAAGGAACACUGUCUCGAGUCUUUGUUGUUCCCAAGGCCGGCUGCCGAGAGAGACCGGAUUCGCGGGGCCAGGAAGCCAGGCGCUCUCCCAGCUAGCUCCCAGGGUUGAAAAUACCAAGUAAGGAAUUAGUGUAUAGGAUGCUGGAAACUUGUAGUGACGAACUGCUCAUGACUGAAAGGCCUAGAACAGAUGUAUCUUUCAAGUUCUUACCAAGAAAACAGCUAUGAAGAAAAUGAUGGGUCAAGAAGACCAGUGGAAAACUCC
This 661-nucleotide long non-coding RNA is filed under the name Lynx canadensis (Canada lynx). RNAcentral describes it as "lncRNA (ENSLCNG00005001038.1)". The record is from RNAcentral. Lineage: Eukaryota; Metazoa; Chordata; Mammalia; Carnivora; Felidae.